Molecule: ribosomal RNA, 253 nt
Filed under: uncultured prokaryote
Description: partial 16S ribosomal RNA
Rfam family: Bacterial small subunit ribosomal RNA
Source: RNAcentral
ACGUAGGUGGCGAGCGUUAUCCGGAUUUACUGGGCGUAAAGCGUGUGCAGGCGGGCUGUCAAGUGGUGUAUGAAAUCGCUCGGCUUAACCGGGCGCGGUUAUGCCAGACUGACAGUCUGGAGUGCGGGAGAGGGGCGUGGAAUUCCGGGUGUAGCGGUGGAAUGCGUAGAGAUCCGGAAGAACACCGGUGGCGAAGGCGGCCCGCUGGGCAGGAGCUGACGCUGAUGCGCGACAGCGUGGGGAGCAAACAGGA